GAGACAAGAAAUUCAGGAAUAAGCUUCUAACUUAAUUCCCUAGUGGUGCAAAUCCAUUAAUGUCUCU
This 67-nucleotide transfer RNA is filed under the name Pseudorhaetus sinicus. RNAcentral's name for it is "tRNA-Ser". Lineage: Eukaryota; Metazoa; Arthropoda; Insecta; Coleoptera; Lucanidae. The record is from RNAcentral.